Molecule: ribosomal RNA, 440 nt
Filed under: uncultured bacterium
Lineage: Bacteria
Description: partial 16S ribosomal RNA
Rfam family: Bacterial small subunit ribosomal RNA
Source: RNAcentral
CCUACGGGAGGCAGCAGUGGGGAAUAUUGCACAAUGGGGGAAACCCUGAUGCAGCGACGCCGCGUGAGUGAAGAAGUCUUUCGGUAUGUAAAGCUCUAUCAGCAGGGAAGAAAAUGACGGUACCUGAUUAAGAAGCCCCGGCUAACUACGUGCCAGCAGCCGCGGUAAUACGGAGGGGGCAAGCGUUAUCCGGAUUUACUGGGUGUAAUGGGAACGUAGUCGGCAGCACAAGUCUGCUGUGAAAGGCCGGGGCUUAACCCCGGAACUGCAUUGGAAACUGUGCGGCUAGAGUGCAGAAGAGGUGAGUGGAAUUCCUAGUGUAGCGGUGAAAUGCGUAGAUAUUAGGAGGAACACCAGUGGCGAAGGCGGCUUACUGGACUGUAACUGACGUUGAGGCUCGAAAGCGUGGGGAGCAAACAGGAUUAGAUACCCGGGUAGUC